RNAcentral lists this long non-coding RNA (251 nucleotides) under Pelobates cultripes (western spadefoot toad). Lineage: Eukaryota; Metazoa; Chordata; Amphibia; Anura; Pelobatidae. The record is from RNAcentral.
AAAUAACUAAUUUGCGAUCUGGAAGAUAACCACACCUCUAGUGCUUCUAUUGGGUUAUCAACUGAUGACGUACAGGGAGUCUGGCCCUUUAAAAGUUAAGACAAAGGGAAUAUACGAGAGGGAGGCAGAUGCAAGAUAUGCAAAGGAGAGGAGAGAGGAAUUGGAAGUUUGGGGAUUCCAACUCGGACAACAUCUGAGACUAACACUCUACUCCUAAAACUCUAACACUUAGAAUUUACUGACUUUCUAAC